AGGAACCUACGGGGGGCAGCAGUAGGGAAUCUUCCACAAUGGGCGAAAGCCUGAUGGAGCAACGCCGCGUGGGUGAAGAAGGACUUCGGAUAGUAAAACCCUGUUGUUAGAGAAGAAAGUGCGUGAGAGUAACUGUUCACAUUUCGACGGUAUCUAACCAGAAAGCCACGGCUAACUACGUGCCAGCAGCCGCGGUAAUACGUAGGUGGCAAGCGUUAUCCGGAUUUAAUGGGCGUAAAGGGAA
Molecule: ribosomal RNA, 244 nt
Filed under: uncultured bacterium
Lineage: Bacteria
Description: partial 16S ribosomal RNA
Rfam family: Bacterial small subunit ribosomal RNA
Source: RNAcentral